GGGGGCGUCACGGUUUCGACGGGAUGUGCCUUUGGGAUAGGAGCAUGCGGUGGGGGUUACGACCACCUAAAUCCUGUAGCGAUAAAUAUAAAUGCCAAAAAAUCUGGCAACGUUGUAGCGUUCCCGUCUCGUACGGCUGCGCCUAUGGCGAUGGCUGCUUAAGUAUCAGCUUGUUCCCCGUUGGUUCGGGGCGCUGACUUACAGUCACGGUCUGGUUAACUGACGUCCGUUUUGGUUAGUUAAGGCCGUUUCAUUUUCAACGGACUCGGUGAAGCGGUGUUGGUACGCGUAGCCUAAAUUUUCACCAACACCUGUGGACGGUUAAGGGGUCUCCGGCUUUCCCCCGCAGGCAUAAAUCCGGAAACUAAGCAUGUAGUAGCCACCUGAAUGUAUGUUUCGGACGCGGGUUCAACUCCCGCCGCCUCCACCA
Molecule: transfer-messenger RNA, 430 nt
Filed under: Alphaproteobacteria bacterium
Lineage: Bacteria; Pseudomonadati; Pseudomonadota; Alphaproteobacteria
Rfam family: transfer-messenger RNA
About the family: Bacterial tmRNA, also known as 10Sa RNA or SsrA, is named for its dual tRNA and mRNA-like properties. Its role is to liberate the mRNA from a stalled ribosome.
Source: RNAcentral